Molecule: ribosomal RNA, 253 nt
Filed under: uncultured bacterium
Lineage: Bacteria
Description: partial 16S ribosomal RNA
Rfam family: Bacterial small subunit ribosomal RNA
Source: RNAcentral
UACGUAGGGUGCGAGCGUUGUCCGGAAUUAUUGGGCGUAAAGGGCUCGUAGGCGGUUUGUCGCGUCGGGAGUGAAAACACCGGGCUUAACUCGGUGCUUGCUUUCGAUACGGGCAGACUAGAGGCAUGCAGGGGAGAACGGAAUUCCUGGUGUAGCGGUGAAAUGCGCAGAUAUCAGGAGGAACACCGGUGGCUAAGGCGGUUCUCUGGGCAUGUCCUGACGCUGAGGAGCGAAAGUGUGGGGAGCGAACAGG